This 129-nucleotide non-coding RNA is filed under the name Pseudomonas massiliensis. Its description in RNAcentral is "FMN riboswitch (RFN element)". It matches the Rfam family "FMN riboswitch aptamer (RFN element)". From Rfam's summary of the family: The RFN element is a highly conserved domain that is found frequently in the 5'-untranslated regions of prokaryotic mRNAs that encode for flavin mononucleotide (FMN) biosynthesis and transport proteins. This element is a metabolite-dependent riboswitch that directly binds FMN in the absence of proteins. The record is from RNAcentral. Lineage: Bacteria; Pseudomonadati; Pseudomonadota; Gammaproteobacteria; Pseudomonadales; Pseudomonadaceae.
CGUUCUCAGGGCGGGGUGAAAGUCCCCACCGGCGGUAAUGGCCUGGCCUAGCCCGCGAGCGCUCGCCUCGGCGAGGUCAGCAGACCCGGUGCGAUUCCGGGGCCGACGGUAUAGUCCGGAUGAAGAGAG